This 479-nucleotide ribosomal RNA is filed under the name uncultured bacterium. RNAcentral's name for it is "SSU rRNA". It matches the Rfam family "Bacterial small subunit ribosomal RNA", at positions 26 to 518 of the family's 1533-position model. The record is from RNAcentral.
AGGACGAACGCUGGCGGCAUGCCUUACACAUGCAAGUCGAACGGCAGCACGGGGGUAACCCUGGUGGCGAGUGGCGAACGGGUGAGUAAUACAUCGGAACGUGUCCUGUAGUGGGGGAUAGCCCGGCGAAAGCCGGAUUAAUACCGCAUACGAUCUACGGAAGAAAGCGGGGGAUCCUUCGGGACCUCGCGCUAUAGGGGCGGCCGAUGGCAGAUUAGCUAGUUGGUGGGGUAAAGGCCUACCAAGGCGACGAUCUGUAGCUGGUCUGAGAGGACGACCAGCCACACUGGGACUGAGACACGGCCCAGACUCCUACGGGAGGCAGCAGUGGGGAAUUUUGGACAAUGGGGGAAACCCUGAUCCAGCAAUGCCGCGUGUGUGAAGACGGCCUUCGGGUUGUAAACUGCUUUUCUUUGGGUACGAGCGAAGGACGGUACCGAGAGGAAUCACGCCCCGGCUCACUACGUGCCAGCAGCCGC